AUGCACCUUUCUAUCUAUUUAUACCCUAGUGCUACCGUGCAACGGCACAAGAUACAAUUUCUAGUUCUCAUGUUUCUGGAGUUAGUUGUGGAGGGUGGACCGGGAAGAGGAAGAAUGAGAGGGUCCAAGAGUAAUAUGAAUGGGAACAUCGAGGAAAGCAUGAGCUUUCUAGAUUUCCUCUCCUUACAAUGGAGAGAUCUUGCUCUGUGUUUUUCCGAUGCCUCCCAUUCCUAUUGUUCUUGGGUGCUCCUUCCCCUUCCUUUUGGCUUCCACAUCAAACAAUCUAUGUAUAAAUUUUAG
RNAcentral lists this ribosomal RNA (300 nucleotides) under Triticum aestivum (bread wheat). RNAcentral's name for it is "partial small subunit ribosomal RNA". The stretch from base 99 to 268 matches the Rfam family "MIR2118 microRNA precursor family". The record is from RNAcentral. Lineage: Eukaryota; Viridiplantae; Streptophyta; Magnoliopsida; Poales; Poaceae.